RNAcentral lists this long non-coding RNA (444 nucleotides) under Zosterops lateralis melanops. RNAcentral describes it as "lncRNA (ENSZLMG00000002662.1)". Lineage: Eukaryota; Metazoa; Chordata; Aves; Passeriformes; Zosteropidae. The record is from RNAcentral.
GAAACUAAGGCUCUAGGUUUUUUUCCGGUAUGAAGUGGAAUUCUGAAAUAACGAUACCAUUUAGUUCUGAGAGCGGGUACUCUUUGCCUGUGCCGCUUCAUAUGUGCGAAUAAGGGUUGCUCUAUCCUUGGCUAUCUUUGUCAGGUAAUUUGUGUAACUUUCUGACGUAUUUUACUCUGUGGAGUAAUGGAUGUCCGAACAUUAUCUGUCGCACAUGACGGUACCUUGGAGCUCCCCAGGUGCUGCGGUCUGGCUGUUCCUCGCAGGCAUCAGAAGGGCCCCCUCAGAGGUCCAGCCUUGGCUCGCUCACACCGCAGGUUCUCCUCGGUUCUGCAGAGCACAGGCUAACAGUUAAAUCAUCAGAAUUCCUGCAUACGGCAAACUACAGACGGUUCUCCUCUGGCCAAGGGCCCCGGUGAGGAGCAGGCGGGGGAACGAGCAGCG